UAAUAGACUGUGAAGAGAAGAGUAAAUAUAAAAGGUAGUCAUAGCGAGUUGAGGAUGGUGAAAGCUCAAUACGAAGUUUAUAUUGAAGAACAUCUCGGAGUUUCUAACCGAAAUCUUGAAAGAGAGUAGACUUAGACGGGAAGUCCCGUUACAGACUAUAAGCAAUGCUUACUAAGAGGCCAGUUUUGGCAAUUAGGGUGGUACCGCGAGAGCAACAGCCUUUCGUCCCUUUU
Molecule: non-coding RNA, 233 nt
Filed under: Romboutsia hominis
Lineage: Bacteria; Bacillati; Bacillota; Clostridia; Peptostreptococcales; Peptostreptococcaceae
Description: T-box
Rfam family: T-box leader
About the family: Uncharged tRNA acts as the effector for transcription antitermination of genes in the T-box leader family. T-boxes are found upstream of many aminoacyl-tRNA synthetase genes and some amino acid biosynthetic genes usually in Gram-positive bacteria.
Source: RNAcentral